UCAAAAUAGAACCAGGCAUCACUUGAUGCCAACCAAACACCUAAGUACCACCGUUGUUUCUAUGGUUGUUGUUGGACGACGCGUGACCACCACCAUCGCCUAAAAAUUAUUCCGAUUACCAUAGCAUCCGCCGCCUUGGCCUUCGCGUUGUUGAUUGCAACCACCAUGAUAACCCCCUCGAUGGUUAUUGUGAGAUUGGGCGGCUUCUAAGACCAAAAUUAUAGAAGAUGGCGAAUGGUCUGAGUGGAUUUGAGUUGAAUUUUUGGAUUCAUCUUGUUGCAUUUGUUUUUCUUCAAGUAGAAGGAUGGAGCGUAUAUCCCAAAACGAAGGCAGGGGAUCGUGAUGGCAGAUGGUGGUUGUAAUGUAUCGAAAUUUUUGAGAAAUCCAUUCAAUGUGUAGGCAAAAAGGUUGUGUUCAUGCACUUUUGCAUCCAUGUUAUCCAUCAGGUCAGCAAGAUUUUUUAUGCGAUUGCAGUAUUCAGUGAUUUUGGAGUUACCACUGGAUAUGUUACGAAGUUCGUUGUUAAUCUGAAUAAUCUUGUUGGCCUUGUUGUCACGAAAUACCAUUUCAAUAUAUUCCCAAACUUCAUACAUAGUAGCCUUCUUAAAAAUCAUUUGGAAAAGAGAGAUAAUGAGUGUAUCGUACAACCAGGACUUGACUAUAGAUUCUAAUCUAUCCCUUCCAGUGCAAUCAGAAGGGAUACGUUGCUUCUCAUUUUGUGGUAGCAGGUGAUCGGCAGCUCCAUAGUCGUUAUAGUAGAUCUUAAAGAGUUAUCUCGAGAUGUCAUAAUUGAUUCUUUCAAGAUCAAGCACAAGGGGACAAUGUAUUUAAUGUUAAUCGUAGAUUAUGGCUUGUUACAUAAAAAGGAAGAAUAGUUUGGUUUUGGAUAUCUAGUCAUGAUGAUUGAAUGGAAUGAGAGAAGAAGAGGAAAACGAGAAGAAAAGAGGAUGAGAAGAUGAUCGACGGAAGGGAAGCAGUCUACAGGAACCAAGGUUUUUGGAGAGAAACUUUACAUAAAAGUUUCACAGCUCUGAUACUAUGAAAUUCUAAUAAUUUUCCAUGACCUUAUUUCAUUCAUUAUUAAAGAAUAUAUUCAUAAUACAUGGGAAAAGGGCCCUAAUAAAAUGGGCUAAAGUAAUGUGGGCUAUUUAUACAAGAAUACAAAUAAUAAAAGAAAUAAUGAUUUGUUGGAAUUCUUUUCCCCCUUUCUUUGUUAUAACAAAUGUCUAAUUAUAGUUUCUUCACGCAGACUUUCAAUGAAAUAAUAAUAAUCAAAAGAUUCCAUCGGCGUUGAAGAAUGCAAAGAUUCAAUCGAUGUUGAAGCUUUUUUCUUGAGGAUUCGAGGCGGUGAAUUGAAUUUGGUGGAAGCACUGAAGAAUUUGGAAGAAAGAUACGUAUAGAAUACCUUUGAAGUUG
Molecule: long non-coding RNA, 1416 nt
Filed under: Lactuca sativa (garden lettuce)
Lineage: Eukaryota; Viridiplantae; Streptophyta; Magnoliopsida; Asterales; Asteraceae
Description: long non-coding RNA (LSAT_LNC006413)
Source: RNAcentral